GCAAGAGCGAGGUGGCUGCGAGGAGGCGUCACUGAAAGCCCUGACUUGGGGAAGGCUGCGGGCUCGGAGCCGGAGACGCCGAGCUGGGGCCGGGUGAGUUGGGAAUCAGACUCUUGAGUUGACAGCUGGCCUAUGGUUUCUGCAUUUUGUUAAGAAGCACCUCAUGCAAGCGAGGGACCUGGGACUGCUCACAGCCAGGUGGCAUUUUUCUGAAGUUGUUCAUUAAGACUUCCCAGCAUUCCUACAGAUAUAAAUAGACAUUCUGUCCAAUAUGAGAAUAAAUACAGAAGUAUGGCUGGGCACGGUGACUGACGCCUGUAAUCCCAGCACUUUGGGAGGCUGAGAUGGGCAGAUCACUUGAGAUGAGGAGUUCCAGACCAGCCUGGCCAACAUGGCAAAACCUCGUGUCUACCAAAAAUACAAAAAUUAGCCGAGCCUGGUGGUGGGAACCUGUAAUCCCAGCCAUUCAGGGGGCUGAGGCAAGAGAAUUUCUUGAACCCGGGAGGCGGAGAUUGCAGUGAGCCGAGAUCAUGCCACUGCACUCCAGCUUGG
Molecule: long non-coding RNA, 552 nt
Filed under: Homo sapiens (human)
Lineage: Eukaryota; Metazoa; Chordata; Mammalia; Primates; Hominidae
Description: HSALNT0090098
Source: RNAcentral